Long non-coding RNA from Melopsittacus undulatus (budgerigar), 155 nucleotides. RefSeq lists it as uncharacterized. The transcript has 3 exons. The record is from RefSeq and is a predicted model, not a curated record. Lineage: Eukaryota; Metazoa; Chordata; Aves; Psittaciformes; Psittaculidae.
GGGUCACGUGGUCGUGCUCAGGUCCCGCCCCGUGCUCUCCAUCACCCCCGUGGUGACCUUUGACCCGCAGCAGAUCCCACCCCAUUGGCUCCAUUGCGGCUCUGGGGGCGGGGCCAGCGUCAGCGUCCGGAUCUGCGUGGGUGACCUGGUGACCC